Molecule: non-coding RNA, 72 nt
Organism: Phrynosoma platyrhinos (Desert horned lizard)
Lineage: Eukaryota; Metazoa; Chordata; Lepidosauria; Squamata; Phrynosomatidae
Source: the annotation of a GenBank genome assembly
GCCAGUGUGGUGUUGUGGUUUGAGCAUUGGACUAGGACUCUGAGGACCAAGGUUCAAGUCCCUGCUCGGCCA